RNAcentral lists this ribosomal RNA (891 nucleotides) under Lasiodiplodia theobromae. RNAcentral describes it as "LSU rRNA". It matches the Rfam family "Eukaryotic large subunit ribosomal RNA", at positions 38 to 947 of the family's 3401-position model. The record is from RNAcentral. Lineage: Eukaryota; Fungi; Ascomycota; Dothideomycetes; Botryosphaeriales; Botryosphaeriaceae.
GCAUAUCAAUAAGCGGAGGAAAAGAAACCAACAGGGAUUGCCUUAGUAACGGCGAGUGAAGCGGCAACAGCUCAAAUUUGAAAGCUGGCCCUUUUAGGGUCCGCAUUGUAAUUUGUAGAGGAUGAUUCGGCGAGGGCUCCUGCCUAAGUCCCCUGGAACGGGGCGUCAUAGAGGGUGAGAAUCCCGUAUGCGGUAGGUUGCCUUAGCCAUGUGAAUCUCCUUCGACGAGUCGAGUUGUUUGGGAAUGCAGCUCUAAAUGGGAGGUAAAUUUCUUCUAAAGCUAAAUACCGGCCAGAGACCGAUAGCGCACAAGUAGAGUGAUCGAAAGAUGAAAAGCACUUUGGAAAGAGAGUUAAAAAGUACGUGAAAUUGUUGAAAGGGAAGCGCUUGCAACCAGACUUGUCCGCAGUUGCUCAGCCGGUCUCCUGACCGGCGUACUCUUCUGCGGCCAGGCCAGCAUCAGUUCGGGCGGUCGGAUAAAGGCCUCGGGAAUGUGGCUCCUCUCGGGGAGUGUUAUAGCCCGGGGUGCAAUGCGGCCAGCCUGGACUGAGGAACUCGCUUCGGCAAGGAUGCUGGCGUAAUGGUUGUAAGCGGCCCGUCUUGAAACACGGACCAAGGAGUCUAACAUCUAUGCGAGUGUUCGGGUGUCAAACCCGUACGCGUAAUGAAAGUGAACGGAGGUGGGAACCCGCAAGGGUGCACCAUCGGCCGAUCCUGAUGUCUUCGGAUGGAUUUGAGCAAGAGCAUAGCUGUUGGGACCCGAAAGAUGGUGAACUAUGCCUGAAUAGGGUGAAGCCAGAGGAAACUCUGGUGGAGGCUCGCAGCGGUUCUGACGUGCAAAUCGAUCGUCAAAUUUGGGUAUAGGGGCGAAAGACUAAUCGAACCAUCUUG